UACGGAGGGGGCUAGCGUUGUUCGGAAUUACUGGGCGUAAAGCGCACGUAGGCGGCUUUGUAAGUUAGAGGUGAAAGCCCAGGGCUCAACCCUGGAACUGCCUUUAAGACUGCGAGGCUUGAUCACGGGAGAGGUGAGUGGAAUUCCGAGUGUAGAGGUGAAAUUCGUAGAUAUUCGGAAGAACACCAGUGGCGAAGGCGGCUCACUGGACCGUUGAUGACGCUGAGGUGCGAAAGCGUGGGGAGCAAACAGG
RNAcentral lists this ribosomal RNA (253 nucleotides) under uncultured bacterium. Its description in RNAcentral is "partial 16S ribosomal RNA". It matches the Rfam family "Bacterial small subunit ribosomal RNA", at positions 524 to 776 of the family's 1533-position model. The record is from RNAcentral.